CCUACGGGUGGCAGCAGUGAGGAAUAUUGGUCAAUGGGCGAGAGCCUGAACCAGCCAAGUCGCGUGAAGGAUGACGGCCCUACGGGUUGUAAACUUCUUUUGUCAGGGAGCAAGUGGGGCCACGCGUGGGCUUAGCGAGAGGACCUGAAGAAAAAGCAACGGCUAACUCCGUGCCAGCAGCCGAGGUAAGACGGAGGAUGCGAGCGUUAGCCGGAUUGAUUGGGUUGAAAGGGUGCGUAGGCGGAAUAUCAAGUCAGCGGUAAAAAUUCGGGGCUCAACCCCGUCGUGCCGUUGAAACUGCUGUUCUUGAGUGGGCGAGAAGUAUGCGGAAUGCGUGUUGUAGCGGU
This 347-nucleotide ribosomal RNA is filed under the name uncultured bacterium. Its description in RNAcentral is "partial 16S ribosomal RNA". It matches the Rfam family "Bacterial small subunit ribosomal RNA", at positions 338 to 682 of the family's 1533-position model. The record is from RNAcentral.